Apis mellifera (honey bee) is the source of this 3793-nucleotide RNA transcript. RefSeq lists it as uncharacterized. NCBI's taxonomy places the organism in Eukaryota, Metazoa, Arthropoda, Insecta, Hymenoptera, Apidae. The record is from RefSeq and is a predicted model, not a curated record. The transcript is spliced from 7 exons.
UUGCACGAAUAAACGGAUCGAACGUUUUCUUCCUGUUGGAGGAACGAUGCAACAACAAUGGAUUCAUUUGAGUAAACACGGACGCAUUUACAGAAAUAUUCCGGUGUUAAGGUUCCUGGAUUUAGAAUUUUUGAAAAAAAUUCACAUGUCAUCUUCCUUGAAUUCUCCUAAUACAAAGUUGAAUUUUUUGAUUAAUAGAUUAAGAGUACAAUUAAUUGUUCAAACUCUUUCAAGAAGCUUCGAUAUUCUUAGGAAGACCAGAUAUAACUAUGAUGUAAAGGGAUAGAAGGGAGAGAGGAGUGUUGCGUUUCGUGAUCGUGGUUGCUGAAUAAGAUUUUUUCCAGGGAGUGAUGGAGGUAAGAAUCUUACGGGCGAUAAGGCACACAUUAAUUGAAGAAUAACAUCCGGCAUGGAGCUGGUGGCAGACCGUCGUGACAUCAUUGUUUACAACUGAACGAAAAUGGAAUUAAACGAAUCACCCAAUGACCAACCUAUUCAAGAGCGAAAGGGGUAAUUUUAGAGUGAUAACAUUAACGAGAAUUAGUCGGCUGUGUCGAUAAUUUCAAAAGAAUUCGAUUCAUGGUGACCUAUUUUCUUCAAAUGUUUAGUAAUCAAACAGGAAUUGAUACUUUAAAAAAACCUUCUCCAUGAUAUACCAAAAAUCACAUGUUCCAUUUAAAUAAAUUUUAAAAUCAAUCUAAAUGCCAUUUUUUUCAUCAUCGGAUACUGCAUCUAAAUGAUCUACGGGAAAAAAGUAAUGGCCGAGCAUGUGGCAAAAAGAUAAUUCUCUCGCAAGUUGCAAGAGGAGAACAAGAAUAGAAGUACAAUUUAGAGCGAGAAGCGAGGGUCCCAGGGUCAUCCAAGAGGGCUUCGUUUUAUGAUCUUUCUUCAACCGGCAGGAGCCAUACACGAUCAGGAGUCGAAGGAUCGAUGGAUAAAAAAAAAUAAAGAAAGUCAAUGAUGAUAAAGAAGGAAAGAAGAUUGGAGUUAAGAAAUGGAAGCUUGCUAAGAACGAAUAGCUGUGUCAAAUUAACCAUGAUUUAUAGAGAUGGCCAAUAUUCCAUUCUAUUAACAUCGCAUUAUCCUUCCGUCAAAUUACAUAUCGACGACCCGAUUUUUUCAGAAGCCGAUCCUGGCACAAAGUAACUUUUGCAUUCAUCUCUUCUUUAUCUCAAUCGACUCCUUUCUUACUCUAUUUUAAUACCUAUAAAUUACUUAUGUGAUUGAUCUUUUUUUUUCACUUAUUUAUUCAUUUAACGUUAUACUUAAUUUUGUAACAAUUACAACGAUUGCAAGAUUCGUCGUUUUUAACAACUUCUUUUUAAAUGUCAUCAAUUUUUUUAUAUUUAUUUUUUCAAUUUUCAAAUUAUUCUUAUUCUACGAAUCUAUCUAAAUCUUUCUGUUACAGUGAAGGGAAAAAUACUUUUUUAUUUGCAAAACUAUUUUAUUCCAAAUAAACGAUAUGACAUGAUUAAAAAAAAUUAUAAUAUGAUUAAAUGAUAUGAUUAAAAUUAGAAUCAACGUAUCAUUGAUCAUUAAAAAAGAAAAACGGAAUUUUUCAGUUUUUCUUCCCGAUUACCGUUCCAAGGUGUACAGGUAUCCAAUAUAGUACGAUCGAUCACCGAUUAUAGCUCGGGAUAGGCAUGGUGUACAAUGUUGCACUCUAUUGGUUGGUUACAUAUCGCAACAUUAUACGUAUAUGCGGCCGGGGCAUCAAGUUGCAGGCUGCAAUAUGUAUACGCGUUUAAUUAAUUCGCCCGUACACGCGCCAUAUGAAUCUCAUUCCCGUGUAGUUCGGCGAAUUUCCCCAAACGAACUACAGAUUAAGAUCAAGAAUGAUAUGGAUGAUAUAAUAACAACAAGUCAAUUUUAGUACAAUUUUAAUUGGGACAAUUUAACAUGCAUUUAUGACCAGAAUCGAUUUCACUCACGUUAAUUAUCGAGGGAAUUAUCGAAUGAAUUAACCGAAACAAACAACCGAAAAGAAAAACUGUUUCUAUCAUAUCAUAGUCAAUAGUCGCAAAAUGACAAGAAUCAUUCUAUAAAUCGUAAUGCGGGUGGAGAACAUCAUAUCCAUGGGCGCAAAGUUGCGCACACGAAGGAAACAAAUAAAGAAAGAAGAGAAGAAGGAAAGAAAGAAUAAAGAACGGUUGGACAAGGCGCAUCGCGUACGCGCGCGUAGCUCGUGUCCGGUCAGCCGUUAAGAAGGAAGCUCCAGGCCGAUGUCGAAGAUAAGAGCGGGGACGUGUCCCUCUGUGCGUGGCAUUCUCGUGGAGAGAAGUGGUACCGAAGUUCGGGGACCAAGUGUGCCAGGCCCUCACGUAAUCCACGGAUACGUCGCGACGAAUUUGAGAGAAGCCACGAACUGGGUCCCUCUAUCUUCAAAAUGGCUACCGUCUCCGCAUCGGUGGGCAGCCGAUAUAAACUACAAACGCUCCUCUCGAACACAACGCUCCCCUCGAUCGCGUCGCCGGUUUUUUGGAUUUCUUCGAAGUGGCACGCUCGGGAAGACGUCGAUGGAUUUUGAAUACGUACUGGAUGAUAUAGAGUGGUUCACUAAAUCGAUGCGAUUGAAGAUAGGCUCUCUUUUUUUUUUAAUCGAUACGAUAGAUGAUUCGUGACAUUGAAUUUAGAAAAUUGACUUUUGCUUUCGUCCAUCAUUUCAUUCUUCCACCAUUUCUUUUUCACAAAGAAAUUUUUGAAAGAAAAGAUAAACUUCUUUAUAUUGCGUCAAGAUUAAAUUCAAAUCUUUUUCCAAUAUUGCAAUAAUGCAUCAUUACGUUUCUUCAAUCCUUAAUCGGAUAAAAAAAAAAAUUAUUUCAAACAAAAACCUAUCAUGAUAUCUGCAUCGAAGUUGUAAAUAUCUUUGGUAGCGUCGUAACUAUUCGCGUACGAUCGGAAAAUCUGUCUAUCGUUAAGGAGGAAGAGGGCGAAUAGAAUGAAACGAUUCGUGAAAGGGGGAGUGACAAAGAGAAGGAGUAGGGAGGGAGUCGAUGGGAGAGAGAAAGAGAGAGAAAGGAGAUCACGGAGCUCGUGUUUCCGGCCGGGUGAACAACAAUGCCCGCAGACAAAUGAGCAUCCCGCCUCCAUUGUUCGCUUCAUCGGCACGGCGCAGCCUCUCUCUCCCCUGGUUACCCACCCUGGUUCCGCUUACGCCCCCCUAUCCUUCCCCCAUUCUUGUUUCUCCUUGUCCCUCCCUUUACCCCGUAAUCGAAAGCCCACGUCCUCGUCCUCGUCGUCCUCGUCCUCGUCCUGGUUCUCGUCCUCCAUCGUCGUCAUCAUCAUCAUCGUCGUCGUCGUCGUCGUCGUCGUCGUCGUCGACCAACAGCCAGGCUGGGGGGUCCUCGAUCAACCUGAUGCGGGCCAACACCGAUUAAACAUCUCUGCUUCGUCGAAUCUCCGUCAACGUGGGCCCCCUCCAUGAGCCCCUCCUCACGAAGAGGUAGGGUUCCCCACGGUGCCACUCUCUUUUGUCCCCAGAGCGCGAGUUCUACCGUGGCUCUCCUCUAUUUUUACGCUCAUUGUCUUCUUCGUGCGCGCUCGAUGAAAAUAACGCGCGCCGAUGUCUGGAUGAUAUAAUACCUCGUCGAUAAUUUCCAUUUUUUGAUCUUUUUCUAUCCGUUUAUUAUUCUAUCGUUCGUUGAGCCGAUUUUUCUCGUCUCCCUUUUCUUCUCAUUUCGUCGUCUUUCCUUAUUUAAAUUAUUUCACUGCUUUGCAUUUAUUUUACUUCAAUUACUUUCCCUGAGGUUUUUGUUUGGAAUUUUUCAUUUAAAAUUAAUCAAGAUUAAUUUUU